UACAGAGGGUGCGAGCGUUGUCCGGAAUCACUGGGCGUAAAGGGCGCGUAGGUGGCGAGCCAAGUCCAUGGUGAAAGCUCGAUGCUCAACAUCGAGUCGGCCACGGAUACUGGUGCGCUUGAGCACUGUAGAGGCUAAUGGAAUUCCGGGUGUAGCGGUGGAAUGCGCAGAGAUCCGGAAGAACACCGGUGGCGAAGGCGGUUAGCUGGGCAGUUGCUGACACUGAGGCGCGACAGCGUGGGGAGCAAACAGG
Molecule: ribosomal RNA, 253 nt
Filed under: uncultured bacterium
Lineage: Bacteria
Description: partial 16S ribosomal RNA
Rfam family: Bacterial small subunit ribosomal RNA
Source: RNAcentral